GAUGAACGCUGGCGGCGUGCCUAAUACAUGCAAGUCGAGCGAAUGGAUUAAGAGCUUGCUCUUAUGAAGUUAGCGGCGGACGGGUGAGUAACACGUGGGUAACCUGCCCAUAAGACUGGGAUAACUCCGGGAAACCGGGGCUAAUACCGGAUAACAUUUUGAACCGCAUGGUUCGAAAUUGAAAGGCGGCUUCGGCUGUCACUUAUGGAUGGACCCGCGUCGCAUUAGCUAGUUGGUGAGGUAACGGCUCACCAAGGCAACGAUGCGUAGCCGACCUGAGAGGGGGAUCGGCCACACUGGGACUGAGAAACGGCCCAGACUCCUACGGGAGGCAGCAGUAGGGAAUCUUCCGCAAUGGACGAAAGUCUGACGGAGCAACGCCGCGUGAGUGAUGAAGGCUUUCGGGUCGUAAAACUCUGUUAUUAGGGAAGAACAAGUGCUAGUUGAAUAAGCUGGCACCUUGACGGUACCUAACCAGAAAGCCACGGCUAACUACGUGCCAGCCGCCGCGGUAA
This 515-nucleotide ribosomal RNA is filed under the name uncultured bacterium. RNAcentral describes it as "partial 16S ribosomal RNA". It matches the Rfam family "Bacterial small subunit ribosomal RNA", at positions 28 to 523 of the family's 1533-position model. The record is from RNAcentral.